This 1525-nucleotide ribosomal RNA is filed under the name Parabacteroides distasonis. RNAcentral describes it as "bacterial SSU rRNA". It matches the Rfam family "Bacterial small subunit ribosomal RNA". The record is from RNAcentral. Lineage: Bacteria; Pseudomonadati; Bacteroidota; Bacteroidia; Bacteroidales; Tannerellaceae.
ACAACGAAGAGUUUGAUCCUGGCUCAGGAUGAACGCUAGCGACAGGCUUAACACAUGCAAGUCGAGGGGCAGCACAGGUAGCAAUACCGGGUGGCGACCGGCGCACGGGUGAGUAACGCGUAUGCAACUUGCCUAUCAGAGGGGGAUAACCCGGCGAAAGUCGGACUAAUACCGCAUGAAGCAGGGAUCCCGCAUGGGAAUAUUUGCUAAAGAUUCAUCGCUGAUAGAUAGGCAUGCGUUCCAUUAGGCAGUUGGCGGGGUAACGGCCCACCAAACCGACGAUGGAUAGGGGUUCUGAGAGGAAGGUCCCCCACAUUGGUACUGAGACACGGACCAAACUCCUACGGGAGGCAGCAGUGAGGAAUAUUGGUCAAUGGCCGAGAGGCUGAACCAGCCAAGUCGCGUGAGGGAUGAAGGUUCUAUGGAUCGUAAACCUCUUUUAUAAGGGAAUAAAGUGCGGGACGUGUCCCGUUUUGUAUGUACCUUAUGAAUAAGGAUCGGCUAACUCCGUGCCAGCAGCCGCGGUAAUACGGAGGAUCCGAGCGUUAUCCGGAUUUAUUGGGUUUAAAGGGUGCGUAGGCGGCCUUUUAAGUCAGCGGUGAAAGUCUGUGGCUCAACCAUAGAAUUGCCGUUGAAACUGGGGGGCUUGAGUAUGUUUGAGGCAGGCGGAAUGCGUGGUGUAGCGGUGAAAUGCAUAGAUAUCACGCAGAACCCCGAUUGCGAAGGCAGCCUGCCAAGCCAUGACUGACGCUGAUGCACGAAAGCGUGGGGAUCAAACAGGAUUAGAUACCCUGGUAGUCCACGCAGUAAACGAUGAUCACUAGCUGUUUGCGAUACACUGUAAGCGGCACAGCGAAAGCGUUAAGUGAUCCACCUGGGGAGUACGCCGGCAACGGUGAAACUCAAAGGAAUUGACGGGGGCCCGCACAAGCGGAGGAACAUGUGGUUUAAUUCGAUGAUACGCGAGGAACCUUACCCGGGUUUGAACGCAUUCGGACCGAGGUGGAAACACCUUUUCUAGCAAUAGCCGUUUGCGAGGUGCUGCAUGGUUGUCGUCAGCUCGUGCCGUGAGGUGUCGGCUUAAGUGCCAUAACGAGCGCAACCCUUGCCACUAGUUACUAACAGGUAAAGCUGAGGACUCUGGUGGGACUGCCAGCGUAAGCUGCGAGGAAGGCGGGGAUGACGUCAAAUCAGCACGGCCCUUACAUCCGGGGCGACACACGUGUUACAAUGGCGUGGACAAAGGGAAGCCACCUGGCGACAGGGAGCGAAUCCCCAAACCACGUCUCAGUUCGGAUCGGAGUCUGCAACCCGACUCCGUGAAGCUGGAUUCGCUAGUAAUCGCGCAUCAGCCAUGGCGCGGUGAAUACGUUCCCGGGCCUUGUACACACCGCCCGUCAAGCCAUGGGAGCCGGGGGUACCUGAAGUCCGUAACCGAAAGGAUCGGCCUAGGGUAAAACUGGUGACUGGGGCUAAGUCGUAACAAGGUAGCCGUACCGGAAGGUGCGGCUGGAACACCUCCUUU